GACGAACGCUGGCGGCGUGCUUAACACAUGCAAGUCGAACGGAAAGGCCCUGCUUGCAGGGUACUCGAGUGGCGAACGGGUGAGUAACACGUGGGUGAUCUGCCCUGCACUUCGGGAUAAGCCUGGGAAACUGGGUCUAAUACCGGAUAGGAGCCCUUUUUAGUGUGAUGGUUGGAAAGUUUUUUCGGUGUAGGAUGAGCUCGCGGCCUAUCAGCUUGUUGGUGGGGUAAUGGCCUACCAAGGCGGCGACGGGUAGCCGGCCUGAGAGGGUGGACGGCCACAUUGGGACUGGGAUACGGCCCAGACUCCUACGGGGGGCAGCAGGGGGGAAUAUUGCACAAUGGGCGCGAGGCUGAUGCAGCGACGCCGCGGGGGGGAUGACGGCCUUCGGGUUGUAAAAUCCUUUCGCUAGGGACGAAGCUUUUUGUGACGGUACCUAGAUAAGAAGCACCGGCUAACUACGUG
Molecule: ribosomal RNA, 465 nt
Filed under: uncultured bacterium
Lineage: Bacteria
Description: partial 16S ribosomal RNA
Rfam family: Bacterial small subunit ribosomal RNA
Source: RNAcentral